Molecule: small nucleolar RNA, 79 nt
Organism: Mesocricetus auratus (golden hamster)
Lineage: Eukaryota; Metazoa; Chordata; Mammalia; Rodentia; Cricetidae
Gene: SNORD115
Rfam family: Small nucleolar RNA SNORD115
About the family: HBII-52 is a member of the C/D class of snoRNAs, which contain the C (UGAUGA) and D (CUGA) box motifs. HBII-52 is encoded in a tandemly repeated array with another C/D snoRNA, HBII-85, in the Prader-Willi syndrome (PWS) region of chromosome 15.
Source: Ensembl
AGGUCUAUGAUGACAAACCAAUGUCAUGCAGAGAGAUGAUGACAUAAAAAUCAUUCUCAAUAGGAUUGCGAUGAGGUCC